Esox lucius (northern pike) is the source of this 2548-nucleotide RNA transcript. RefSeq lists it as uncharacterized. The record is from RefSeq and is a predicted model, not a curated record. NCBI's taxonomy places the organism in Eukaryota, Metazoa, Chordata, Actinopteri, Esociformes, Esocidae. The transcript is spliced from 5 exons.
ACUCUUUAGGGAGGCAAUGGCGCUCCGAACCUCUGCCAUCUUUACUUUCGUUAAGAUGUAGAAAUAUUCAAGGAGGCUCUGGGAUCACGCAGACUAACUUAUACCAUGAGGUUUUAUUAACAACUUUCAGAUACGUUACAUCAGUGCUCACUCUUCAGCGGCAGCAUACACACUGAACUUUCUAGAGCAUAAAACAUUGCUGACGAAUGCUAUAGCCAAUAAGAACAAACAAUGCAAUAUUUCUGGAAUGCGAUUGGUUCUUAGCAGAACGUAAGAAUACUACAUCCCCCUUCUUUUGAAAUAAAACAAUGCAAGGAAAUUAUUGCAAAACCCCAUUAUAUGAAAUAAACAUAUAGCUUACAAGAGUCACAUGCACAAACUAAAUCACAUGUAUUAUUAUAGCAAAGUACUGGUAUACUGUAGGUGUUCAUAUAUUAUUGGAUUGUCACAAGACAAAACACAAACUGCAUUGAACAUUAUGAACAAUAUUUUUUUUUUCUAAGGGCAGCGAUCCGCCUACACCCUUGUACAAUCACAGAUCCAGAAUAACUCUGGGUUUAAUCUGGCGUCCGUACCUGGAUCUGUACAUGACGGAUUUGGGCAGAUCAUCAGUGUGGUCAGGUGUGUGUGUAAUGUCACUGUGUGGUGCACUGUUGAUUGGUGUUUCCCAUAGCUCAGCACCAUCAUGACCUAAAGAGAUGUCAGAACUGUCCUGAGGUUCCUUUGUGUCCAGGAGGUGGCGUCUGUUUCGCCGAUAUUCCCGUCCAUCAGAGGAGUUGCUGAUUGGUGUUUGGUAGGGUUGACCGCAGACGGCGACUCAUCAACAGCUGAGCUGGGGACUUGAAACCAUCAACAGGGCUAUUGCGAUACUCCAGGAGACUGAGGUUCUGGCAAACGUCGCAAACUCACCCGAGCUGUACUGGGGGCCGUUGUCUGAGAUGACAGCCUCUGGAAUGCCAUGUCGGGCAAAAGCAGCUUUUAGUUUAUCUAUCACAGCAGUUGAGGUGGUGCUGCUGAGCUUGUCCAGCUCAAAAUAUCUGCUGUAGUAGUCUACUGUCACAAGAUAAUCCUCAUUGCUCCAGGCCAGAACAUGAUGUCACGGGCUCUCUGCUUGGUUUUCUCUAUGCCUAAGUGACUGGGAUGUACACAUGACAGCAUGUCUGAACGAAGACUUGUGGGAACGACAAUUUUUUCACCUUUGAAGAUGAUUCCAUGCAGGUCACAUUUGCCUUUUACCGCCAGGCGUUCACCACCAUAGCCAAACAAUGGGCGAGAUGUCGGCUGCAGAUUGCACUGAGUGUUCAGCUUGUCAUACUCGUACAGGGGAAUGACGUUGGCAGAUGAUCCAGUGUCUAGCUUAAACUUAACUUCAAGUUGUCUUGGACCUACUUUAAUAUACACAAAAGCUUGCUCUGCGUCUGAACUCUGUCUGCCCUGUGUCACUGAAUCAAUAAACAGCUCUUCAUCAUACUCAUCAACUUGGUCUGAGUUUUCUUCACUUAUUACAUGGACAGUUUUCUCACAGCUUGAGCGACAGACUUUUGCAAAGUGUUUUAAUUUACCACAUAUUUUGCACACUUUUCCUUUUGCAGGACAGUGAGAUCGAUCAGUGUGAGGUUUGUUUCCACAGUAUCCGCAUCCUUUGUGGUGUACUGGGGUAGCAUUUCUAUGUUGCAAAUUGUCGCUGUAUUUCUUUGUGUAUUUAGCGUUGCGUUGCUUUGGAACGGCACCCUUUGAUGUGUUGCGGAAGACUGCGUGCACUGAAUGGUCACGUGAAGCACUCAUGCUGUUUGAGAUUGUUUUUAGCUGUGCUUGCGCCAACUCAUGAGAUCUAGCGACAUCUAUUGCUUUUUCGAGCGUUAACUCGGAGCCUACAUUCAAAAGCUUCUCUCUCACUUUCGGUGAAUGUAUUCAGAACACGAUGCGAUCGCGGAUCAUCUUGUCACUGUUUGCAUAAUUACAGUCCUUCACAAGCAGACGCAGGUCUGUCACAAACUGCUCAAAGGGCUCGCGGUCUCCCUGUAUUUUUUCAUGGAAUUUAUAACGUGCAAAUAUCACGUUCGCUUUAGGUUCAACGUAUGCCGUGAAACGGUCGUAAUAUGACUUUAUGAUCUUUGCUUCGUCUUCGGACAGUGACCAAGUAUUAAAAAUAUCACGGCCCUUUUCUCCGACCCAUAGGAGAAGAUAACUACAUCUCUCUUCCUCACCCUUUCUCUUCAGGGGUCCGCUGAACAUCAGCUCCGCGUGCUGUUGAAACUUGCGCCAUGCUUCUGGCAGGUUAGUUGCAUCCCAGUUCAUCGUGGGCAUUGGAACUCCAGCGAUAUCCAUCCUUGUUUGUCUGAUCCGUUCACUCUGACACCAUGUUGUACUUUCGUUAAGAUGUAGAAAUAUUCAAGGAGGCUCUGGGAUCACGCAGACUAACUUAUACCAUGAGGUUUUAUUAACAACUUUCAGAUACGUUACAUCAGUGCUCACUCUUCAGCGGCAGCAUACACACUGAACUUUCUAGAGCAUAAAACAUUGCUGACGAAUGCUAUAGCCAAUAAGA